RNAcentral lists this ribosomal RNA (471 nucleotides) under uncultured Desulfobulbaceae bacterium. RNAcentral describes it as "bacterial SSU rRNA". It matches the Rfam family "Bacterial small subunit ribosomal RNA", at positions 335 to 797 of the family's 1533-position model. Lineage: Bacteria; Pseudomonadati; Thermodesulfobacteriota; Desulfobulbia; Desulfobulbales; Desulfobulbaceae. The record is from RNAcentral.
UCGCCUACGGGUGGCUGCAGUGAGGAAUAUUGCGCAAUGGGGGCAACCCUGACGCAGCGACGCCGCGUGAGUGAGGAAGGCCUUCGGGUCGUAAAGCUCUGUUAGCAGGGAAGAAGUGCACGGUGGUGAACAGCCGCUGUGUUUGACGGUACCUGCAGAGGAAGCACCGGCUAACUCCGUGCCAGCAGCCGCGGUAAUACGGAGGGUGCGAGCGUUGUUCGGAAUCACUGGGCGUAAAGGGCGCGCAGGCGGGGUGAUAAGUCAGAUGGGAAAGGCCAGGGCUUAACCGUGGAAGUGCAUUUGAAACUGUCAUGCUUGAGUACCAGAGGGGAAGGUGGAAUUCCCGGUGUAGAGGUGAAAUUCGUAGAUAUCGGGAGGAAUACCGGUGGCGAAGGCGACUUUCUGGCUGGAUACUGACGCUGAGGCGCGAAAGCGUGGGGAGCAAACAGGAUUAGAUACCCCAGUAGUCAA